Molecule: long non-coding RNA, 1787 nt
Organism: Canis lupus familiaris (dog)
Lineage: Eukaryota; Metazoa; Chordata; Mammalia; Carnivora; Canidae
Exons: 3
Source: RefSeq, a predicted model, not a curated record
CCCAAUUAGACCAUCCUGUUCAUCUCUAAGCUGAGCAUGUGUUCUUAAGUUCUGGUGUUUCUAGGUCAGGAGCAAGAGGAAUAAAGAGUCAGAGAUAAGAGUAACAGGGUGUGUGUGGGAACCAGGAGAGAGGGGGACAAAGUGAGGCCAGAUUAUGGAAGCAUUGCACGUCCUGCUGGCUUUUUUGGCUUUAUUUUUAUUGGCGAUAGGCAACCCUUAGUAGUUUUGAGCAAGGAUGAGAUGCAAUUAGUAGUGGCAUCAAUCCUUCUCAAUCCAUCACAAAACCCAUCCUCUCUCCUUGGUGGGAAGGAAAACAAAGGCUCAGAGAGGCAUGGCAGCUUGCCUGGAGGCUCCCAGUAAAUUGUUUCAGGCAGUGAAACCAGAAGCCGGCCCUGCUGUCUCUCCUUCCCAGCUUUGGGGCUCUGGUAGCUGCUGGUUGCCUUUCUUUCCCUGGCCCCCCCAGCCUGCUCCCUCCUUCACUCAGGAGCUCUGCACCACCUCGCGGUGGCCCUCUCCAUCAUUAGAGCAACCAGUGGGGUUCUGCUGUAAUUAAAGGAAGCCAACAGGAGGAAGCAAAGCAGAGCAAGGGAAAAAAAAACAAUCACCAACAAAACAUCUUAUUUCCCACGCAAACUCCCUACAACUAGCGUCUAUUGGCUUUCAUGGGAACCUGCUUGCUUUAAAUACAGCAAAGGGAAACCCCACAGGAUGAUGUGGGAAAGCAGGUUGUUAAGAUACCUUCAGGCUGCCAGAGUGGGGAUUUACUCCUUUUUUUCCCCCUCCCUACCCUGCAGGGCAAAACUGAUAAAAUGUUAGUGUUGAAAGCGACCUCGAAGGUCAUUUAGUGCAGGGCAGCCUUCCCUCCAUCCCCUGCCCCUCCCAGGACAGCGUCUCUGACACAUUGUUAUCUGGCUCCCACUCUCCCUGGCUCACUCAAUUUGCUGGACCAAAGCUCAGGUAGGGGUAGGAAGACACUUUAGCGAAAACUGGCCACCCACGCCUGUUGUCAUUUACGGCCCGACUCCGGAAAUGUCUAAUUAAUUCAUUUAUCCAAUUAGCCCCUUGCUCUCUGAAAUGCUUUUUCUUGGUUGCUGAGCAACCAGGAUAGACUUUCAACACAUGCAUGCUGCUGGUGAAUGAACCAGUAGUUUCUUCACCCUGGCACCCCCUGCCCCCGCUCCUCUUUCUCCUUUUAUUUUUCUGAUGCACAGUAAUGAAGACCAUCUCCACCAAUCUCCAGCCUUCUCACCUUCCCCAAACCUCUGGAUGUGCUUGCUGCCCGACUUAACACAUUUCUGAAGGUAUUCUUCAUGUGGUGGGGAAGAUGGCAAUUCAGAGCUUGCAGUGAUGAAAAGAGUGUCCAUUUCCUCGUUCCCCUCUUCAUCCUCCCCUCUCUUUCUUUACUAUUAUUUCUGAAGAAGUUGUUCUUGCUUGAUUCAUGGGUCCACCAUACCACUGGACCAAUUACUGGGCGGCUCGAGGAGACAGCACUUUCUGGUUGGCAGCCUCAUCAGAAUAAAGUGGAGUGGGAGAAGCAGUUUCCCAAAGGAGUGCUGAACCCAUUUCAAAAGGCUAGACUUUCCCCACUGUCUUUGAAAUGAAGAGAUGAGCAGAAAUGUAUCUCCAAUGAACAGGGCACAGAUUUCUGGGUGAGCCUGCCAGCUGGCUCCCUAAACCCCUGCCCCACCUUCCAACACAACUGCUGUCUUCCUGAUGAAUGAAGUGUCUCCUUUGCUCCCUGGGUACUCUUUCUGCUAUUACUUCUUAUUUCAGCCCCCUCUACUUUG